CCUCAGCACACCCGGUGGCAGGGUACCAAGAGGAAUUUAACAUUCCACUCCUACCGCCCUCCUCCGCUUCCCGGCUUCCGCAAAGUGGUUUUAAAAUCAGAAGCACAUCCCUAGCGCUCUGUGUAGGUGGUGACGUGGGAGGGGGUGAAAUGCAACCUUUAUUUUCCUAACUGCCUGUCAUCCAAUUCCCCGUUUCCCUCUGACUUUCAUGAGUGAUGAGGUCAUCCCGGCGCAGAAAAAUCAAACUCCUAUUUUUCAGACCCAAUAAAGGCCGGCAUUGUGUGUCUGCGUAAACACAGGCCAGACGGGCAGGGCGGCGGGGACACGAGUGGCCCGCCCUCUGGCGGUCGCAGGAGACGAUGGUGCCCCGAGCUCCACCGCCCCGAACAACGGCAGGGAGGCGGAGAGGGUGCGUGCUAAAAUGUAUCCUUUUCCACUUAUUAUAAAAUCUUUGAGUUGGAAGAAAAUUUAGAGGACAUUUGUUCAAAUCUACCACUUAAGAUGGGCACUUCUGGAUUCAAACUGGUGUUCCAGGUUACUUCAUUAAAGGAGCUAAUUGGCUUAGUCCACAUCCAUGGUAACAUCUUCUUGAAGCAAAAUGUGGAACAAGGUCUCCUGGCAACUGGAAACUAGUGGCCACUGCCCUUUUGCCCAGAAAAAAGGGGGCUAUCGUUGAACCAGGUGGAACCCAGAGGACACAGGCAGGCAGUCAGGCCGAGCUGCUUGCUGAUGCUAAUUAUCCUAGCCCAGUGCUUCCCUUCUGGGGAAGUAGGAGGAGAGAAAUUCAUGCCAAGUUCUUGCACAAGGUCAAAUGUUUCUGGAGGAAGGCAGCCAGGGUUAAAUUAGCAGUCAGAAUGAGGUAGAAAGCUGGGUGGAGAAAAACAGGCUGGGAGAAGGGGGGAGAAGUCUGGAAAUUCAAAUAAAGACAGCAGUAGAAAGUAAUUACUAACACAUUUCCCAACUUGGAAAGCUAGCCACAUCCCACACCAGGGCCAGACUCAGAGCUGUUCUGUUCCAAGAAGGUUGGAGCAGGCUCAGGCACAGGAAGGGACUGUGCAAGCCAGCUGCCUGUCCCUGGCUUUGGAGCUGUGCUCCCCGAAAAGGAAAAUUCAUCUUGAACGAGAAAGCAAAGGACAUUGCUGCCUAAAUUCUCCAUUAAGAUCAACACUCUCCAUACAUUCAAUAUAUCUGUCCUUCCAGGACUACCCAACAGCAAAAAGUCAUCAAACAUCAAAACAAAGGAAACAGAAAUCUUCUAGGAAAAUGUAAGCCUUUGUGAACCUAAAAUAUUUUCCUUCUCUGCUGCUCAUCAACAUAACCGGAGGAAAGAAACUGUUUGUGGGAGGGACAGAUCUCAGGAGAAGAGGAGGAGGUGAAGGAAAAAAAAGGAAAAGAGAAGCAAUGCUCUCUGGUGUCAAGAAGAAAAUCAUGAUUGGAUUGACUGGAAUGAACUGUUUUGACAGUUGAUUUUUAUUAUUUUUUCCCCCUCCAACUUCAGAACCAUGACAGACAAUUGUGGAACAUCAAAUUCACGAGCGAAUACUUCAUCAGAUCUGGUUGCCUCAACAACUAAAAUAGCCAAAAUGUUAAGACAGUCAAAUAAGAUUGAUUAUUUCUGAUACAAUCUGUGGGUGGUUGACCCAAGAAUUCUCAGCCUAAUCACACAUAUAAACACAGAGGCCGUCGUUUCAGCAGAUGCAGAAGCAGGCAGCGGACAAGUGAAAAAACCGUCAAUCACCUGGAUGGAUGCUCAUCACUGCCGUGCCACGGAGCAGUGUGAAGAGAAACACCCAGAAAAGCCUCCGGAUUGCUUCUGGGUGCUGGGUGUCAUAGGAGGCAGCCAGCCUUAAAAAGCUGGGAAUUCUGAUCCUUCCGGUUUCUAGCAAAAAGACAGAGUCUGCUUGUAAUGGAAAAACAGAUUCCCUCAAAUUGUUGUCUAGAGGUGCUGAAUCAUGCAUGAAUGUCAGGAGAUGACGCCAACCACAGCAUCAUUUCAUGGGGACUUUAUCUGGUGUGAACCAAGAGAAUUGUACUUUAUGAAUUUUCUUUAAGCAUCCACAGAUAAUUGUUGUGCUGGGUCAUAUACCAAAAGGGAAAUUAAAUCUCUCUCAUAAUUGGAUUUGGUAUUUGCAGCCUUUCCUGAAGACAAGGGAAAGGAAAUUCAUUUCAGAAUUAAAGAAAAAUCUUGAAUUAAAGAAUUGCAAUCACCGUAUCAGGUGCCUGUCUGAAUUUAACCCACUGCUUGCAGAGGGAUGAACGCCUUAGGGUGAUGGCGCAGGUACAAAAGGUUCCUGAGCGUCACACUUGUUUGUUUGUUUGGCUAAGUUUUUCCUUUUCAUUGUGAGUUCUAAGAAAAUUAUUAUUUGAUAGCUUGGUGGCAAUGCAGUCUGUGUUGAGAAAAUAGGAAUUGAUUAAGAAGUGAGAGACUGUGAGAGACUGAAAAUGAGUGGGGGAAAAAAGCCUACAAAGCAUUUACAGUGUAAUUUUCCAAUACAGAUUUGAGCAGAUACCACAUGCAGUUGGAAACAGAUGCAUUUUCAAUGCUUUAUUAUUGAACGAAGAAUAAUUUCUGUUUCCCUCUUUUUAAAGAGAAUCCAAGAAAAUACAAUGCUAAAAUCUACAUAUUAGCAUGGUAUUCACUUGAAUGCCUAAUUGCUUGAAACUUGAAGGAUUCUGUUUCGACUCAGAGAUCCUGACAUGGCUAGCAUGCAGCCAGAUGUUAGGGAAGAAUAUUUGCAAGAAUCAUUUAUGGAAACAAAACAUUAAUCUGUAAAGACGUAUGCUAGAUUAAUUAGCAAGGAUGUUAACUUGAUAUGUGGAUUUCUAAUGAACCUGGGGAUACAUCUGAAUGUAUGUUUAAAACUUAAUAGGGGCACCUGGCUGGCUCAGUCAAUGGAGCGUGUGACUCUUGAUCUUGGGGUUGUGAGUUCAAGCCCUAGGUUGGAAGUACAGAUUACUUAAAAAAUAAAAUGUUUUAAAAAAAAUAAAAUAAAACAUAAUGUCACAUCUUCUUCAAUAACUUUGUAUUUUAUAA
Long non-coding RNA from Acinonyx jubatus (cheetah), 3034 nucleotides. RefSeq lists it as uncharacterized. The record is from RefSeq and is a predicted model, not a curated record. The transcript has 3 exons. Lineage: Eukaryota; Metazoa; Chordata; Mammalia; Carnivora; Felidae.